CGGGCGGCAGCGGCGCGAGCGUGUAGAACGGCGCGUGGCUCGGGAAGGAGGGCGCCGGCUGCAGCCUGUAGUAGCGCCCGUGUGUCUCAGCUCCCCCCUUAGUGUCAGCCCAGCCCGGGGGGGUGCGAGCAGCAUGAGAGUAGUGGCCUUAAUCAGUGGUGGAAAGGACAGCUGUUACAAUAUGAUGCAGUGUGUUGCUGCUGGGCAUCAGAUUGUUGCUCUAGCCAACUUAAGACCUGCUGAAAACACAGAAGGGACAGAUGAGCUGGACAGCUACAUGUAUCAGACAGUAGGACAUCAUGCCAUAGACCUGUAUGCUGAAGCAAUGGAUUUGCCUCUCUAUCGUCACACCAUAAAGGGUACUAGUGUGGACACUGGAAGAGUGUAUACCAAGUGUGAAGGAGAUGAGGUCGAAGAUCUUUAUCACCUUUUGAAACUUGUUAAGGACAAGGAAGGAGUGGAAGGUGUCUCUGUAGGAGCCAUUCUUUCUGACUAUCAACGAGUUCGAGUGGAAGAUGUGUGUAAGAGGCUUAAUCUGCAGCCUUUAGCUUACCUUUGGCGUCGAAACCAGGAAGCUUUGCUCAAAGAAAUGAUAACAUCUAACAUUCAAGCCAUCAUCAUAAAAGUAGCAGCUUUUGGUUUAGAUCCAGAUAAACAUCUAGGAAAAACAUUGGAUCAAAUGGAGCCUUAUCUUUUGGAGCUCUCUAAGAAGUAUGAAGUUCAUGUUUGUGGAGAAGGUGGGGAAUAUGAAACAUUCACUUUGGACUGUCCUCUGUUUAAGAAGAAAAUAGUUGUGGACUCAUCCCAAGUAGUUGUACAUUCAGCUGAUGCAUUUGCACCUGUGGCUUACCUCCGCUUUUUAAAAUUACACUUAGAAGAUAAGGUGGAAACUUCAGACAAGUUUAUGAUCCGUAGCUGUUCUUGUGAGGUAAGCUGUAAUGAGGUUAGUAUGCCACCUGUAUCUGAGGCAGAUGGACCACAGAAAACCCCUCCUAUCAUCUGGAAAUCAUUGGAACAUACUUCUCUGCAAUACAGUAAGCCAUUAGAAUGUUCUGGAAAAUCCCUAAGUGGUUACCAGUGGGUUUCAGGCAUCACUGCCCGCUUCCUUCCACUAGAAGGAAGGAGUAUUCAACAUGCAGCUCAGGAAGCGUUCUCUUCCCUCCAAGCUAAUAUGAAUUCAAAGGGAUUGGAAUUGAAAGAUAUUAUUUUGGUCCAUCUGUAUAUGAAGAACAUGAAAGAUUUUGCUGUUAUAAAUUCAGCUUAUAUGACAGAGUUUGAUUUGUGUCCACCGGCAAGAGUAUGUGUAGAAGCCCCAUUGCUUGAUGGAGUACUCUUUUGGAUGGAUUGCCUUGCACAUAAGUGUGACGUUACCAUCGGUGAUGUGCACUGUUAUCAAAAACAGAUCAUGCAUGUACAGAGCAUUUCUCACUGGGCACCUGCUAACAUAGGACCUUAUAGUCAGUCCAUCAAGAUUGGAGAAGUUCUAUACUGUGCUGGACAGAUUGCAUUAGUACCUUGUACCAUGCAGCUUGUAGGUGGUGGCAUACAAACGGAGGCUACAGUUUCCCUAAGCCAUGUCGAGAAAGUCCUUAAAGCUAUGAGCCACAACAUUGAACUCCACCACAUCCUUAUGGCAAAUUGUUAUGUAACUGACAGCAAGUACAUUCCUGUCGCUCGCGCUAUAUGGCAAAAGAAAUUAAGCGAACUUAAAAAGGCAGAAGAUCCAGAGAUGUACAGUGAUCUAGCUGCAGUCUGUGGAACUCUAACUGUGGUCGUGGUUCCCCACCUACCCAGAGAUGCACUCAUUGAGUGGCAUGUCACUGCAGUAGUGGAUGAUCCACCAAAAAGGAAAACUUUUGUGAUGAAGAUGUUGUCAGAGGGCUGCCAAAUUGUAUGUGAAGCUGUGGAGUCCAGUUCUGCAUCUAGUGCAUCUAUCUCAAUAUGCCUAAGCUUAAUUUCACCAUCUGCUUCGUCAGUCGAUUUAGUUAGGACUCUUCAUGAUAUGGUUGCUGUGUUUAGACAAGCUGUCGAGAAACUUUCAGAAGAUUGCAGUGCAAUUCCAUUGUGUUUUAGAACUUUCUACAGGAAGGAUAGUUUUGAUGCUGGAACACUACAAGCAGCACUGUAGGUGCAUCUGGCACAUUGAUAUUAGAGCUUUGUGAAACAUUCCUAUCAAACCUCAAUGUCCGUGUACCUGGGGAGAGGAUAUCAGACAGCAGAGGAAUUCAUAGAACUCCAUUCAAGCUCUUCCUCCUACAGCCAGCCUCAUUCUCUUUCUCAAGCCAGUCUAUCAUAGGAAUUAGAGACGGCAAAGACCUGUUAAGUCAACUAGUCUAAUUCUCCGCCAAUGUAGGAACGUUCUCUAUAGUAUAUCAUUCAGUACUUUGUCAACUCUAAUUUUAAAUGUCCCAUGUGACUUGGUUUCUUCCUCCACAUACUAGUAGAUCUCUUUGUCAGGAUGUUUUUCUUGAUAUUCACAUCCUUUCACUUAUUUCAUCCCAUUUCUCUAACUUUUAUGCACACCCUGUACUAUCCUAUGUUAUUCCUCUCCUUGUUUGUCUCUUUCAGCAUUUCUGCUUCCUGUGCCUCACACUACUGUGUGGUCUUGUGUUUAGUGUGGCAGCAGCAGGAAUGGAAAAGUGUUUCCUUUCCCUCCUGCCCUUGAGGGAGGGCUCAGGUCACUUGCUGACCCACUCCUCCCUAGAAGGGGCGGGGCAGUGGCCUGGUCUUACAGUUAUACCACCACACCCCCACAAAAAUACAAGAGGAGAGAAGCUUCUACAUGGCACCCUCUUUAAGAUCUAUGGAUAAGGACCACUGCCUCUGAAAACAUCAUCAGAGGAUGUUCUUAGGCUAUAUCUUGGUGCAUAACAUUGAAAUUGUACAACUCUACAUAAGUGUAAGUGCUAUUACUAAUUUUGUCUGUAAGAGGGACAGAGCUAGGGCCCCAAAGGAGGAGGGAGGGAAGAGAGAUUCUCUCAGAGGUUUGAGUUAGUCACAAUCAAACCUUCAAAUGAACAGAACGGGGUUGGUUCCCUCCCAUCCCCUUGUGACUUGAAUUACAGGGUUGAAUAAGUGAAAAUGAUCAUAAACCAAACCCUGCAGAGUCUGCAAAGCACUAAUUAACACCCCCAGUCAGUAACUUCUCAGAAACUGGUCUUUAAGCAAACUUUACUCUAAAAAACAAAACAAAUUAAUUUGGCGGCCUGAUAAAAGAGAUGCAUUGCCAAAGCUGACAGGCCCACAAUUGAACCAACUCUAAAAAUAACUUUUUUUCUGUUCAAUGUCUUUAAGAUGCUGAAAAAUUUAUAAGCUACAAAAAAUUCCACUUUCUCAGCCAAGUGACUCAGCUCUAGGAAAGCAAGAUUCUUGUAAAUGUUCACACCCGCCCCAUCCUUGAGCAUGCCCCCUUCCCACCUACCCCCAUCUCAGCAGAAUGGAAAGGAAGUUGGUCAGACUGGAGGCCACCUUUAAGGUCCUUCAGCGCUGGAGGGCAGUGAUGCCCUCUGAUGUUGGCCCUUGUCCCACCCCACUGUUUUGUGGAUGGAUAUGGAGCCCAUGCAGGGUGGGUAGGAUGAAAUCCUCAGCUAUUCAGUGGACAUUUUGGAGGACGGGGAGUCAUUUGUCUCUCUGUGCCACCUCCCCUUCUCUGCAUAAAGCCCUUGUGGUCCGAUAUAAUAAUAAAUAUGUGCAUUUUGGUAGUGCCCAAAAAGGGCACAGUGACAAUUGUGGCCCCAUCAGGCGCAGUGUUUACAAACAGAAAUAGAGACAAUCCUUUUGAACUGGUAAUAAGUUGAAUCACUAGUGCAGCAGCUCUGAGAAUUUUCCCUGGUCCUUCCUGUCCAAAGUUUAUUCUCAUCUGCCAUAUGAUUAUGUGAAAAGGAGAUCAUCAACUGAAACAGGUUUAACAGGUAAAACUUUGUAGCAGCAAGAAUCCACACAAGUGGGAUGGGUCCAUAGACAAGAAAUAAAUAAAAAUGUGAUGAGACAAUUUUUCAAAGGCACAAUAUUAAAGGCUACAUAUUUGCACUCAUGAAAACAGACAGAUGCAUCUCUAAAUGGCUAUUUUGGCAUCUGCCCGGCUAUUUGUACUGGUACAGACCCAUUUCCACAUAUAAUCACGGUAACUGUAUCUGCAGUUGUAGCUUUACUUUUUUGCAUGUGCAUUUUUGUAAAUAGACCUGACACUUCUGAAAAUGUAUCAUGUAUGAAAUGUUAGUGUAGAAAAACAUUAUAGCAAUUUUGAAGCAACUUGUGAAAUCUUCACAACAUAGAUUGGAUUUUUAAGUUAGGUGGCAAGUGGAUUGAUGCUUUUACUUUAGGCAUCCUACUCUUAAAUCCUAAUUUAGUGUAGCUCCCACUAAAAAUGAGUUUGCAGCCUCACCCUAAUCCCUGGUGGACAUUUGUCACACUUACCACCACAUCAGAAAACCACCUAACAAUUCAGCAUGAUUGGUAGCCUCUGAUCUAGAACAGAGCCCCAGGCAGGGAACACCAAGGUGGUUGAAGUUCAGAAUUGAAGUGCAUUAGCUGUACGGUAUGGAGAAGCUUGCACAGCACCUAGAAACCUCCACUGUGCCAAACCUGCCCCACUCAUGAGUGCCAAAUAUACACAUUAAAAUAUGUAAAGCAGUUUGAUGUAAAAUUAUAGUUUUAAUAAUAAUAAUCACAUAUACAGUGCUUUACAAACCAUUAUUAACCACUGAACUCCCAUGAGAGGUAAGUAAAUCAGCAUUAGCUUCAUGUUACAGAUGAGAACCAGACAAAGAGACCUUGUGACUUGCACAAGGGCCGAGGAUAAUUGAUAUUAUAAUCGGGAUAAGAAAUCAGUAGUUACUGGCACCCAGGCCUGUGCUAAAAUCACCUUUUUGCAUGUGUAACAAUUGUCAGAUCCUGUUUUCUCCUAGUAUUUGUUUCAAAGUUCCUGAUUGCAAAAUCUUAUGAUCCCAACUUUAAGAGCCUGAAAUAAAAAUAUAAUAACAUAUAGUAAUGUAUUUAUGGCCACAUUUUCCAUCCACCUGCAGGGUGCUUAGUCCUUUUGAACACUUUGCUUAGGUACCAAAAUGGGAGCAAAGCUUUUUUGAAAAUCUGCCCCCAGCUGUCGGGAGCUUAGCACUUUUGAAAAUCUGGCCCAUAUACUUUUCAAGGGGAAUGUCCAAUAUGACUGAUUUUAAAAAUAUCAUUAGGACAGUGAAGGAAGAGAUAAUAAAGGAGCUAAUGAAAAGCUAAGUAUCAAAGUAUAUCAAAUGUCCAGAUUUUUCCUUAGAAAACUAGAAUUUUGCAGGAGAAAAUCACUGCAGAUCAUCCUUUAGGAAACAGUUUACUUUUAUUUCAUUUUUAUUUUUCCAUCAGAUUUUUCUUUCAAGGUGUUUUUAUUUAAUAGGCUCAGUGCUUAUUCUGAGCAAGUGGAUUUUAGCCAGAAUAAAGCAAGUAGAUUGUACACAUUUUGUUUUGAAAUUCUGCAUUUACCCAAAACACAUUGUAUUAUUCUAAGAACAAACUUGGGGAAAAAAAUUAAUUGAUUUCUCUGGCACAUAGGCCUGGUACAAAACAGCAGUAAAACCAGUUAAUUUUCUGAAAUGUAUUUUCCUUCCCUGCUACUGUUAACCAUAAAGACAGUCACUUGGAUCUUUUUUUAAAGGCAUCAAGCUUCCUCAUGUUUCAGCUUUUCAUUGCACUGCCUGAUCAUUUAGGGAACAGGCUUGUUCCAGACAGCUUUAAUUAAACUGUGCUGUGAAACCAGAUAUAGAUCAAUGGAAAUGAUCCAUAACAAGAGGCUAAUCAUGUAUUUAACAGUGUUCAGUCCAGUUCAAUCACCUUCUACCAUUUCUGUGGCUUUACAUUCAUGUGGCGAAGACUGAAUGUGUGUAUGUAUUUUUUUUUUUUAAUCCAUCCCAUUAGUGGCCAUAUGCUUUGGCUUCAAGGGAGACAAGAACUGUCUGCAAUCUGCCAGGGAUUUAGGGACAUCAAUAAUUUUUGAAUAGUCAUGUUGGUACUGGUCGAAGGGUUAAGUGCCCUGUGCACCAGGGGUACAUCUUGUGGGACUGGAACUCAUAGUCAACUGUUAGGAACCUGAUCCCCUCUGAGGCUUCUCUUCGAAGUACAUGCUUCACGUCAAAUCCAUACAGCUGAAGCAAUGGAGCUUUAUUAGCUCAGGGAUUUAAAGACCUGAACUAAGUGAUGUAACAAUAUCUUUUUGAUUACAAAGUGAAGGAAAAGUGUAGUUGUAACAUCAAAUAGAUUGUUAUGUUCUGGGUGAAACACAUGCUCUUUCUGCUACCCUUUUCCAUUUCAACGCAGGCUAGUUCUCGCCCAUAAUCAGCUGGUGGAGAGUGCUUACCACUACAAGUAUCAGGAUAAUGGCCCUGGUUUUGCAAGCAUUGCCCAUGUGAGCAGUCUCAUUGGCUUCAGCUCAUACAAGACUGCAAGAUUACCUAGAAGAUCAGUUGAGGGAGAAGACUCCAGCUCUGAUUCUGGUACCUGUAGUGGA
Molecule: RNA transcript, 6490 nt
Organism: Trachemys scripta elegans
Lineage: Eukaryota; Metazoa; Chordata; Testudines; Emydidae
Gene: DPH6
Gene name: diphthamine biosynthesis 6
Exons: 16
Source: RefSeq, a predicted model, not a curated record